Molecule: unclassified non-coding RNA, 405 nt
Filed under: Caryopteris incana
Lineage: Eukaryota; Viridiplantae; Streptophyta; Magnoliopsida; Lamiales; Lamiaceae
Description: partial external transcribed spacer
Source: RNAcentral
GGCACUCCCAGCGCGCGCGCCCCCCACCCAUCGGUGCUUGGCUGCCGCGCCCAUGCAUGCAUUGGGCCGAUGUCGGGUCCCGUGGGCUGGUUUCCUGUCGGUGCGGAAAACUAUCGGCUGGGUUGUCCCGCUUCCGUCCCGUUCGGUGGCUUCGAAAGGAAAUGCUGCGCGGGGUGGACCAAGAAGCGCCCGUCGUGCUCGGCGCCCUCGCACCUCCGUCGGGUGCCUGGGUCGGCGAUGCACGGCGACGUGCUAGAUGCCUCGGGUGCGGAAAAUUGAGCGGCCUCCAGGCCUCGGCCUCGGAUGCCCCCCGAAUAAAUAAAAGCGUUUCCACGCUUUGCUGUGGGCGACGGCCGUGCGGGUCUCGGUCGGGAGCCUGCUUGGCUCACGGGCGUGCCCGUGCGG